RNAcentral lists this ribosomal RNA (172 nucleotides) under uncultured bacterium. Its description in RNAcentral is "partial 16S ribosomal RNA". The stretch from base 19 to 172 matches the Rfam family "Bacterial small subunit ribosomal RNA", at positions 43 to 204 of the family's 1533-position model. The record is from RNAcentral.
ACGAAUUCACUAGUGAUUCAGGCCUAACACAUACAAAAUAAAACGAACCCUUCUGGGUGAGCGGCGGACGUGUGAGUAACGCGUGAGUAACCUUCCCUAUACACACGGAUAACGUACCGAAAGGUACGCUAAUACGAGAUAACAUAUUUUUAUCACAUGGUAGAAAUAUCAA